AGAGUUUGAUCAUGGCUCAGAACGAACGCUGGCGGCAUGCCUAAUACAUGCAAGUCGAACGAGACCUUCGGGUCUAGUGGCGCACGGGUGCGUAACGCGUGGGAAUCUGCCCUUGGGUUCGGAAUAACAGUUGGAAACGACUGCUAAUACCGGAUGAUGACGAAAGUCCAAAGAUUUAUCGCCCAGGGAUGAGCCCGCGUAGGAUUAGCUAGUUGGUAAGGUAAAGGCUUACCAAGGCGACGAUCCUUAGCUGGUCUGAGAGGAUGAUCAGCCACACUGGGACUGAGACACGGCCCAGACUCCUACGGGAGGCAGCAGUAGGGAAUAUUGGACAAUGGGGGCAACCCUGAUCCAGCAAUGCCGCGUGAGUGAUGAAGGCCUUAGGGUUGUAAAGCUCUUUUACCCGGGAUGAUAAUGACAGUACCGGGAGAAUAAGCCCCGGCUAACUCCGUGCCAGCAGCCGCGGUAAUUC
This 472-nucleotide ribosomal RNA is filed under the name uncultured bacterium. Its description in RNAcentral is "bacterial SSU rRNA". It matches the Rfam family "Bacterial small subunit ribosomal RNA", at positions 8 to 526 of the family's 1533-position model. The record is from RNAcentral.